Molecule: ribosomal RNA, 433 nt
Filed under: uncultured bacterium
Lineage: Bacteria
Description: partial 16S ribosomal RNA
Rfam family: Bacterial small subunit ribosomal RNA
Source: RNAcentral
AACGAACGCUGGCGGCAUGCCUAACACAUGCAAGUCGAACGAGACCUUCGGGUCUAGUGGCGUACGGGUGCGUAACGCGUGGGAACCUGACCUUAGGUUUGGAAUAACUCUCCGAAAGGGGUGCUAAUACCGGAUAAUGUCUUCGGACCAAUGAUUUAUCGCCUUUGGUUGGGCCCUCGUUGGAUUAGCUAGUUGGUAGGGUAAUAGCCUACCAAGGCGCGGAUCCAUAGCUGGUUUGAGAGGAUGAUCAGCCACACUGCGAUGGAGACCCGGCCCAGACUCCUACGGGAGGCAGCAGUGGGGAAUAGUGGACAAUGGGCGAAAGCCUGAACCAGCAAUGCCGCGUGAGUGAUGAAGGCCUUAGGGUUGUAAAGCUCUUUUACCCGGGAUGAUAAUGACAGUACCGGGAGAAUAAGCUCCGGCUAACUCCGUG